Small nuclear RNA from Rosa rugosa (rugosa rose), 157 nucleotides. RefSeq annotates it as U1 spliceosomal RNA. The record is from RefSeq and is a predicted model, not a curated record. Lineage: Eukaryota; Viridiplantae; Streptophyta; Magnoliopsida; Rosales; Rosaceae. The transcript has a single exon.
AUACUUACCUGGACGGGGUCAAUGGUUGAUCAUGAAGACUCAUGGCCUAGGCUAGUGACCUCCAUUGCACUUCGGAGGGGUGCUCGCUUAAGAUCUCCUUAAGAGGGAGAGUCUACGACAUAAUUUGUUGCAGGGGUUUGCGUACCGCAGCCCCCAC